AUUGAACGCUGGCGGCAGGCUUAACACAUGCAAGUCGAGCGGUAACAGAGAGAAGCUUGCUUCUCUGCUGACGAGCGGCGGACGGGUGAGUAAUGCCUAGGAAUCUGCCUAGUAGUGGGGGAUAACUUGCCGAAAGGUAAGUUAAUACCGCAUACGUCCUACGGGAGAAAGGAGGGGACCUUCGGGCCUUUCGCUAUUAGAUGAGCCUAGGUCGGAUUAGUUAGUUGGUGAGGUAAUGGCUCACCAAGACCGCGAUCCGUAACUGGUCUGAGAGGAUGAUCAGCCACACUGGAACUGAGACACGGUCCAGACUCCUACGGGAGGCAGCAGUGGGGAAUAUUGGACAAUGGGGGGAACCCUGAUCCAGCCAUGCCGCGUGUGUGAAGAAGGUCUUAGGAUUGUAAAGCACUUUAAGUUGGGAGGAAGAGCAGUUAACUAAUAUUUGACUGUUUUGACGUUACCGACAGAAUAAGCACCGGCUAACUUCGUGCCAGCAGCCGCAGUAA
RNAcentral lists this ribosomal RNA (506 nucleotides) under uncultured bacterium. RNAcentral's name for it is "partial 16S ribosomal RNA". It matches the Rfam family "Bacterial small subunit ribosomal RNA", at positions 30 to 523 of the family's 1533-position model. The record is from RNAcentral.